Vicugna pacos (alpaca) is the source of this 342-nucleotide non-coding RNA. The record is from RefSeq and is a predicted model, not a curated record. Lineage: Eukaryota; Metazoa; Chordata; Mammalia; Artiodactyla; Camelidae.
CUUCCCCACAUCAGGGACAUUCUGACAACUCGCCCAGCAAGAUUGACGAAGUUGCAUAUUCUUCCCUGAACUUCAAUGCCCAAGAAUCAAAGAAACCAACUUCAGCCUCUCCAUCCUUAACAGCCUCAGAAACGGUUUAUUCAGAAGUGAAAAAGAAGUGAUGCAACCAGUCCUGCUCUCUGUACUGCUGACUUAUUCCAAGCUCCUCCUCCCCAUCCCUAGGAGAUCCCUUUACCCUCAGGGAAAAUGGGAGGAGUGUCUUCCCCACCCUCCCUCCCUUAACCCCCUAAUGAGGCUCCUCCAGGCUGCCUGGUCACAGCCCCUUACUUCAGUGUUAAGAGA